UCUAAAAUUGUACUAUCAUUAAUAAAAAUGUAAACAUUAUUAUUUUGAGUUAAUAUAUAGAUAUGACCAUAAAAUUAAAAUUUGGCCUAUAAAUAAAAAUAUUAAAAAUUGGCCAAUUUUUAUGCAGGAAGUCAGAAAUACUCCUCUCCCAAAAACCUAAAAUUAUCGCUCUCUCUCUUUCUCUCUCCCUCUCCCUCUCCCUCCCGUCCGCCGCGCCGCCGCCACUCAAUCUCCGGCUAUCGCAGCGGCAGCGCCGCACAGCCACCACCACCGCGACGCCUCUAUAAAAAAAUCUGCUUCCGUUCAUCCGUCCGCCGUAAAACUUGAUUAGAUCGAUGAAGAUGCAUUCGGGCGUGUCGAAUUUCUCGAUGUGGUCCAGAACUUGCAGCAUUUGGUCGCGGCAAUUUGCAGGGCGGUUUUGAAUCAGGAUUUUGAAGAGGAAAUGGUAUGACUGCGGAGACGGUUCGACUUCGUAAGCAGCGCAGACGUUGAUUUGAAGAGGAAAUGGUAUGACUGCGGAGACGUUGAUUUGAAGAUAAUGCUGGUGUUAUUGUAAACUCAAAGGGGGAAAUGAAAGGUUAUGCUAUUACCGGUCCAAAUGGAAAGGAAUGCGCCGAUUUGUGGCCGAGGAUUGCUAGUGCUGCGAAUGCCAUUGUUUGACAGCUUAUGGCUUAUGAAGUCUCUGGAAUCAAACCAAGCAAAUGUUGUAAUUUCUUGAGAAUUAUGCCUUUACCUAAUGAGAUUUCGAUUGGUGAAAUGUUUUAUUUUAAUGUUUUUAGAGUUUGUGGUUGGCUUGCUUGGUACAGUUAAGUGCCAUUUAUCUUGACUCGAAAUAGAGGAUAUACUUAUCGAGAAUUGUAAUUGUAAUUGUUAAUCGAGUAAUUAAGGUUCUUUUAAUUAAUAUAGCACAAUAGCUAUUGUAUCUAAUCGAGUAAGAAUGUGGA
This 944-nucleotide long non-coding RNA is filed under the name Salvia miltiorrhiza (redroot sage). RNAcentral describes it as "long non-coding RNA (SMIL_LNC000599)". The record is from RNAcentral. Lineage: Eukaryota; Viridiplantae; Streptophyta; Magnoliopsida; Lamiales; Lamiaceae.